CGAGCGGACAGAAGGGAGCUUGCUCCCGGAUGUUAGCGGCGGACGGGUGAGUAACACGUGGGUAACCUGCCUGUAAGACUGGGAUAACUCCGGGAAACCGGAGCUAAUACCGGAUAGUUCCUUGAACCGCAUGGUUCAAGGAUGAAAGACGGUUUCGGCUGUCACUUACAGAUGGACCCGCGGCGCAUUAGCUAGUUGGUGGGGUAAUGGCUCACCAAGGCGACGAUGCGUAGCCGACCUGAGAGGGUGAUCGGCCACACUGGGACUGAGACACGGCCCAGACUCCUACGGGAGGCAGCAGUAGGGAAUCUUCCGCAAUGGACGAAAGUCUGACGGAGCAACGCCGCGUGAGUGAUGAAGGUUUUCGGAUCGUAAAGCUCUGUUGUUAGGGAAGAACAAGUGCGAGAGUAACUGCUCGCACCUUGACGGUACCUAACCAGAAAGCCACGGCUAACUACGUGCCAGCAGCCGCGGUAAUACGUAGGUGGCAAGCGUUGUCCGGAAUUAUUGGGCGUAAAGGGCUCGCAGGCGGUUUCUUAAGUCUGAUGUGAAAGCCCCCGGCUCACCCGGGGAGGGUCAUUGGAAACUGGGAAACUUGAGUGCAAAAGAGGAGAGUGAAUUCCACGUGUAGCGGUGAAAUGCGUAGAGAUGUGGAGGAACACCAGUGACGAAGGCGACUCUCUGCUCUGUAACUGACGC
Molecule: ribosomal RNA, 699 nt
Filed under: Bacillus pumilus
Lineage: Bacteria; Bacillati; Bacillota; Bacilli; Caryophanales; Bacillaceae
Description: bacterial SSU rRNA
Rfam family: Bacterial small subunit ribosomal RNA
Source: RNAcentral